GAUGAACGCUAGCUACAGGCUUAACACAUGCAAGUCGCGGGGCAGCAUGGGGGUUGCUUGCCAUCCCCGAUGGCGACCGGCGCACGGGUGAGUAACGCGUAUCCAACCUGCCCUUCACCACGGGAUAACCCGGCGAAAGUCGGACUAAUACCGUAUGUUGUCCAUUGACGGCAUCCGAUUUGGACGAAAGGCUUGGCGGUGAGGGAUGGGGAUGCGUCCGAUUAGCCAGACGGCGGGGUAACGGCCCACCGUGGCUACGAUCGGUAGGGGUUCUGAGAGGAAGGUCCCCCACACUGGAACUGAGACACGGUCCAGACUCCUACGGGAGGCAGCAGUGAGGAAUAUUGGUCAAUGGGCGUAAGCCUGAACCAGCCAAGUAGCGUGCAGGAUGACGGCCCUAUGGGUUGUAAACUGCUUUUAUGCGGGGAUAAAGUGGCCCACGUGUGGGCUUUUGCAGGUACCGCAUGAAUAAGAACCGGCUAAUUCCGUG
Molecule: ribosomal RNA, 490 nt
Filed under: uncultured bacterium
Lineage: Bacteria
Description: partial 16S ribosomal RNA
Rfam family: Bacterial small subunit ribosomal RNA
Source: RNAcentral